This 351-nucleotide ribosomal RNA is filed under the name uncultured bacterium. RNAcentral's name for it is "bacterial SSU rRNA". It matches the Rfam family "Bacterial small subunit ribosomal RNA", at positions 8 to 349 of the family's 1533-position model. The record is from RNAcentral.
AGAGUUUGAUCAUGGCUCAGGAUGAACGCUAGCUACAGGCUUAACACAUGCAAGUCGAGGGGAAACGACAUCGAAAGCUUGCUUUUGAUGGGCGUCGACCGGCGCACGGGUGAGUAACGCGUAUCCAACCUGCCCACCACUUGGGGAUAACCUUGCGAAAGUAAGACUAAUACCCAAUGACGUCUCUAGAAGACAUCUGAAAGAGAUUAAAGAUUUAUCGGUGAUGGAUGGGGAUGCGUCUGAUUAGCUUGUUGGCGGGGUAACGGCCCACAAGGCGACGAUCAGUAGGGGUUCUGGGAGAAGGUCCCCCANAUUGGAACUGAGACACGGUCCAAACUCCGUACGGGAGCA